This 422-nucleotide ribosomal RNA is filed under the name uncultured bacterium. RNAcentral describes it as "bacterial SSU rRNA". It matches the Rfam family "Bacterial small subunit ribosomal RNA", at positions 358 to 773 of the family's 1533-position model. The record is from RNAcentral.
GGAAUAUUGGACAAUGGGCGCAAGCCUGAUCCAGCCACGCCGCGUGAGUGAUGAAGGCCUUCGGGCCGUAACGCUCUGUGGGGAGGGACGAACCGCUGCCGGUUCAUAUCCUGCAGCAUGAAGGUACCUCCUUCGCAAGCACCGGCUAACUUCGUGCCAGCAGCCGCGGUAAUACGAAGGGUGCAAACGUUGCUCGGAAUUAUUGGGCGUAAAGCGCACGUAGGCGGCUUUGCAAGUCGGAUGUGAAAGCCCUCGGCUCAACCGAGGAAGUGCAUCCGAAACUGCAGAGCUUGAGUACUUAAGAGGAUCGCGGAAUUCCCGGUGUAGAGGUGAAAUUCGUAGAUAUCGGGAGGAACACCAGUGGCGAAGGCGGCGAUCCGGGAAGAUACUGACGCUGAGGUGCGAAAGCGUGGGGAGCAAAC